UACGUAGGGUGCAAGCGUUAUUCGGAAUUAUUGGGCGUAAAGAGCGUGUAGGCGGCUUGGUAAGUCUGAUGUGAAAUCCCGGGACUCAAUCCUGGAAGUGCAUCGGAUACUGCUAGGCUAGAAUGUAGGAGAGGAGAGCGGAAUUCCUGGUGUAGAGGUGAAAUUCGUAGAUAUCAGGAGGAACAACAACGGCGAAGGCAGCUCUCUGGACUAUUAUUGACGCUGAGACGCGAAAGCGUGGGUAGCAAACAGG
This 253-nucleotide ribosomal RNA is filed under the name uncultured bacterium. Its description in RNAcentral is "partial 16S ribosomal RNA". It matches the Rfam family "Bacterial small subunit ribosomal RNA", at positions 524 to 776 of the family's 1533-position model. The record is from RNAcentral.